This 705-nucleotide long non-coding RNA is filed under the name Anser brachyrhynchus (Pink-footed goose). RNAcentral's name for it is "lncRNA (ENSABRG00000015814.1)". The record is from RNAcentral. Lineage: Eukaryota; Metazoa; Chordata; Aves; Anseriformes; Anatidae.
UUCACUCGGGAAUUUGGAGCUGCUUCGGUGAAAAUCUCCCUUCGAUACUAGCAAUAGCAGCUCCCGGAGGCUUGCUACUUCUCAAAUACCUAUCUGGAGCCUGACUGUUUGCCCAGCAGUCGAUUGCAUUUCCAGUAACGCACGCAUAGAAAACCAGGGGAAAGCGAGGGGUUGUGGAGUUCAAAACCGCCACCGCCAAAGUUCCUGUCUUUAUGCUGUCUUUUGUUGCAUCAGGAAAAGUUCCAAAAAACGGUAGCCUGGUUACUGCUUAAGGAAGGGUUUGUGGCUUCUUGCUGGCUCUUUUGUUCUUUCUUUCAUUCUUUCCCCGAGUAAUAAGCAACAGAGGAUACAAGAGAGCAAAAACCUUGUGAUAAUUAAGCAUCUGCCACAUUAUAUCCCGGUACAUCUGAUACAAAAACAUCUCCUGACACAUGCUGAGGUUCUCAGUGCUGCUGUAAGCUGAACUGCUUUGGGAAAUUUUCCAAGGAAUAAUGGGCAGAGUUCUCAAGGACGAGGCGAGGAGGACAGAGCAAGGAAAAACCACCAAACAGGAUAAGCUGUUGCAAGAAGCUAAGUUCAGCUGACAUUUCGGAUGAGGCCUCAGAUUUCUGAGAAGUUCACCGUUUCUCUGGGAUUGCCAACUUUUCCAAAAGCUACUACUUCAGACAGAGCGAGCAAUUUUGCAGUUCCCCGGCAUGUGGAUUU